GCCCCCCUCAAGAUGAGAUUUCCCAUAGCGUAAGCUAGUAAGAUCCCUGAAAGAUGAUCAGGUUGAUAGGUUCGAGGUGGAAGCAUGGUGACAUGUGGAGCUGACGAAUACUAAUAGAUCGAGGACUUAACCAUAUAA
RNAcentral lists this ribosomal RNA (138 nucleotides) under Bacillus cereus. RNAcentral's name for it is "partial 23S ribosomal RNA". It matches the Rfam family "Bacterial large subunit ribosomal RNA", at positions 2792 to 2925 of the family's 2925-position model. RNAcentral also lists the same sequence under 3 other names. Lineage: Bacteria; Bacillati; Bacillota; Bacilli; Caryophanales; Bacillaceae. The record is from RNAcentral.